CCAUUUAGCAAUGAAAUUUUUCAAGCAAAAUAUAGCCCAGAUAAAAAAGUAGUGUCUCAGAAGCUAAGCAAGGUCAGGCCUGGUUAGUACUUGGAUGGGAGACCACCUAGGAAGACCAGGUGCUGUAGGC
Molecule: ribosomal RNA, 130 nt
Organism: Pteropus vampyrus (large flying fox)
Lineage: Eukaryota; Metazoa; Chordata; Mammalia; Chiroptera; Pteropodidae
Source: Ensembl